GGGGAACGCUGCGGACUUAAAAUCCGUUGGCUUUAUUGACCGUGAGGGUUCAAGUCCCUCUACCCCCA
This 68-nucleotide transfer RNA is filed under the name Andoa berthelotiana. Its description in RNAcentral is "partial tRNA-Leu". It matches the Rfam family "tRNA", at positions 15 to 71 of the family's 71-position model. From Rfam's summary of the family: Transfer RNA (tRNA) molecules are approximately 80 nucleotides in length. Their secondary structure includes four short double-helical elements and three loops (D, anti-codon, and T loops). Lineage: Eukaryota; Viridiplantae; Streptophyta; Bryopsida; Hypnales; Myuriaceae. The record is from RNAcentral.